CAGUAGCCGCGGUAAUACCGAGGGUGCGAGCGUUAAUCGGAUUUACUGGGCGUAAAGCGUGCGUAGGCGGCUAAUUGAGUCGGAUGUGAAAUCCCCGAGCUUAACUUGGGAAUUGCAUUCGAUACUGGUUAGCUAGAGUGUGGGAGAGGAUGGUAGAAUUCCAGGUGUAGCGGUGAAAUGCGUAGAGAUCUGGAGGAAUACCGAUGGCGAAGGCAGCCAUCUGGCCUAACACUGACGCUGAGGUACGAAAGCAUGGGGAGCAAACAGGAUUAGAUACCCCAGUAGUCCCUGUCUCUUAUAA
RNAcentral lists this ribosomal RNA (301 nucleotides) under uncultured bacterium. RNAcentral describes it as "partial 16S ribosomal RNA". It matches the Rfam family "Bacterial small subunit ribosomal RNA", at positions 509 to 809 of the family's 1533-position model. The record is from RNAcentral.